AUUCCAGCUCCAAUAGCGUAUAUUAAAGUUGUUGCGGUUAAAAAGCUCGUAGUUGGAUUUCUGUUGAGGAAGUCCGGUCCGCACUUUGUGCGUGAUCUGGUUCUGCCUCGGCAUCCUCGCGGGGAACGCGCUGCGCUUGAUUGCGUGGUGCGGUAUUCGCGACUUUUACUUUGAGGAAAUUAGAGUGUUCACGGCAGGCUAUCGCCUUGAAUACGUUAGCAUGGAAUAAUAAUAUAGGACCUUGGUUCUAUUUUGUUGGUUUCUAGAACUAAGGUAAUGAUUAAUAGGGAUAAUUGGGGGCAUUUGUAUUAACACGUCAGAGGUGAAAUUCUUGGAUUGUGUUACGACAAACUACUGCGAAAGCAUUUGCCAAGGAUGUUUUCAUCA
Molecule: ribosomal RNA, 387 nt
Filed under: Syndiniales sp.
Lineage: Eukaryota; Dinophyceae; Syndiniales
Description: partial small subunit ribosomal RNA
Rfam family: Eukaryotic small subunit ribosomal RNA
Source: RNAcentral